CACAUCCUGGUUCCGGCCGGCCAGGUUCCCCGGUGCGAGCCAGGCUCCUCAGGGAAGAGAACAAAUCACACCCUAUAUGAUCCACUGCCCGCACCACUCCUAUCUUCUUCCGCUUCUCACGUCUUCACAGCUCGUCCUGCGUCGUCCUCCCAAUCACACCGGCGCCGCCUCCGCCGCACCCCAGCCCCUCCCCCACGGUGCCCUGCCAGCCUCGUAGCUUCCUCUCCGUCCACCACCGGCGUCUCCUGGCGCCCACGCUGACGCUGCCUCGCCUCGCCGCCAGCCUGGCCUUCGGCUGCCUUCCUCUCGAUCAAUCGAUAAGAGUCCCAACUCCAGACUGCCAAGGUUUACCGUCGCUUGCUCCAAUUGCUACAUUCAGAAGAUGACAACGCCCUUUCAAAGAAAAAAAAGAGGGUCAAUGGCUAUGAGGAGGUGGUGGGGCAACUGUGAACUGUGAGCGGCAAGGAUGACAUUGAACUCGGCAGAUCAAUGAAGCAUUAGAAAUGCAUGCAAGCUGGUCCACAUCUCCUCACCGACUUCGAUUUAAAUGAUGAUGGGAACGAGAAUUUUAUAGGAAAUCUUCAAUAUUUUUUUAUUAUGAAUAGUGCAUUCGUUGCAUGUUACUCGAGUUCUAACGUAGGCAUGGGCAAAGUUUUAUUGCUACCACAGUAAUGGAUAGGCUCUUUGGCCGGUAGAAGAGCACCCAUCACCAAGCAAUCGGGGCAGAAAAAUAAAGUAUAUAUGGAUACGGGCAUUUUAUAAUCGGAUACUGGUACUGAUCCACUACUUUGGCGUAAGAAACAACCCCAGUCAACUACUUAGUCUGCAUUCAUCAACUUACUGCCAAAAUGCAGUCUUCUCUAUAUAUGUUCCUAAACAAAUACUAAGUUAACUUCCUUUCAGCUUAGCUA
This is a long non-coding RNA of Setaria italica (foxtail millet), 911 nucleotides long. RefSeq lists it as uncharacterized. The transcript has 2 exons. Lineage: Eukaryota; Viridiplantae; Streptophyta; Magnoliopsida; Poales; Poaceae. The record is from RefSeq and is a predicted model, not a curated record.